UGGGGAAUUUUCCGCAAUGGGCGAAAGCCUGACGGAGCAAUACCGCGUGGGGGAGGAAGGCUCUUGGGUUGUAAACUCCUUUUCUCAGGGAAGAAGGUCUGACGGUACCUGAGGAAUCAGCAUCGGCUAACUCCGUGCCAGCAGCCGCGGUAAUACGGAGGAUGCAAGCGUUAUCCGGAAUCAUUGGGCGUAAAGCGUCCGUAGGUGGCAUUUCAAGUCUGCUGUCAAAGGUCGGGGCUUAACUCCGAACAGGCAGUGGAAACUGAGAAGCUAGAGUAUGGUAGGGGCAGAGGGAAUUCCUGGUGUAGCGGUGAAAUGCGUAGAGAUCAGGAAGAACACCGGUGGCGAAAGCGCUCUGCUAGGCCAUAACUGACACUCAGGGACGAAAGCUAGGGGAGCGAAUGGGAUUAGAUACCCCAGUAGUCA
Molecule: ribosomal RNA, 426 nt
Filed under: Chroococcidiopsis sp. PD63-1
Lineage: Bacteria; Bacillati; Cyanobacteriota; Cyanophyceae; Chroococcidiopsidales; Chroococcidiopsidaceae
Description: bacterial SSU rRNA
Rfam family: Bacterial small subunit ribosomal RNA
Source: RNAcentral